CACCUCCGGCCCCGGCGCCACCAAUCUGGUCUCCGGACUCGCCGAUGCCCUGCUCAACAGUGUUCCAGGAAACCCCAUCGUCGUCGAAGCCUGCCGCCGCCACCGCCGCCUUCUGCAAUUUCUGCCGUCAAGGGGAUGGGCACAGAAAACAAAUGUGAAUGUCUUGAUAUUUUGUGUGAUGUUCUGCACAAAUACGGCAAUCUAAUGGCAUCAGAUCAUGAGGUGAUGUUGGGUACACUUUUGCCCCAAUUGAACACCAAUCAAGCCAGUGUGAGAAAAAAGGCUGUUUCAUGUAUUGGUAGGAUUACUGAUCCUAAUGUACUCUAGAACGAUGUACCCUUAUGUUUUGCAUUAUCAAAUGGCCUCAUAAUAUCUUGAGAUGGUGUAAUUUAAAACUUCUGCUGCAGCAUCUCUGGCUUCAAGCUUGUCAGAUGAUUUGUUAUAGAGGCUCGAAAUCUUCUAAAUUAACUAUCCUGUUUGAUACAAUUUUAAUCGGAUUCGUCUUUCUGCAUUUGCUACUUUGUUUUAGCAAUAGAGCCCGUGAGCUGGAGAUAAGUUCAUUAAACCCCAUGCAGGCAUCUCUGGUUAGAGAAGCCAACAGACAGGUCAUGCAUAUGUUGUGAAUAAUAU
Salvia miltiorrhiza (redroot sage) is the source of this 630-nucleotide long non-coding RNA. RefSeq lists it as uncharacterized. The transcript is spliced from 3 exons. NCBI's taxonomy places the organism in Eukaryota, Viridiplantae, Streptophyta, Magnoliopsida, Lamiales, Lamiaceae. The record is from RefSeq and is a predicted model, not a curated record.